GGAAAGACCCCGUGAACCUUUACUAUAGCUUGACACUGAACAUUGAGCCUUGAUGUGUAGGAUAGGUGGGAGGCUUUGAAGUGUGGACGCCAGUCUGCAUGGAGCCGACCUUGAAAUACCACCCUUUAAUGUUUGAUGUUCUAACGUGGACCCGUAAUCCGGGUUGCGGACAGUGUCUGGUGGGUAGUUUGACUGGGGCGGUCUCCUCCUAAAGAGUAACGGAGGAGCACGAAGGUUGGCUAAUCCUGGUCGGACAUCAGGAGGUUAGUGCAAUGGCAUAAGCCAGCUUGACUGCGAGCGUGACGGCGCGAGCAGGUGCGAAAGCAGGUCAUAGUGAUCCGGUGGUUCUGAAUGGAAGGGCCAUCGCUCAACGGAUAAAAGGUACUCCGGGGAUAACAGGCUGAUACCGCCCAAGAGUUCAUAUCGACGGCGGUGUUUGGCACCUCGAUGUCGGCUCAUCACAUCCUGGGGCUGAAGUAGGUCCCAAGGGUAUGGCUGUUCGCCAUUUAAAGUGGUACGCGAGCUGGGUUUAGAACGUCGUGAGACAGUUCGGUCCCUAUCUGCCGUGGGCGCUGGAGAACUGAGGGGGGCUGCUCCUAGUACGAGAGGACCGGAGUGGACGCAUCACUGGUGUUCGGGUUGUCAUGCCAAUGGCACUGCCCGGUAGCUAAAUGCGGAAGAGAUAAGUGCUGAAAGCAUCUAAGCACGAAACUUGCCCCGAGAUGAGUUCUCCCUGAGACUUAGAGUCUCCUGAAGGAACGUUGAAGACGACGACGUUGAUAGGCCGGGUGUGUAAGCGCAGCGAUGCGUUGAGCUAACCGGUACUAAUGAACCGUGAGG
This 840-nucleotide ribosomal RNA is filed under the name Salmonella enterica. Its description in RNAcentral is "partial 23S ribosomal RNA". It matches the Rfam family "Bacterial large subunit ribosomal RNA", at positions 2082 to 2916 of the family's 2925-position model. The record is from RNAcentral. Lineage: Bacteria; Pseudomonadati; Pseudomonadota; Gammaproteobacteria; Enterobacterales; Enterobacteriaceae.